RNAcentral lists this ribosomal RNA (461 nucleotides) under uncultured bacterium. RNAcentral describes it as "bacterial SSU rRNA". It matches the Rfam family "Bacterial small subunit ribosomal RNA", at positions 57 to 515 of the family's 1533-position model. The record is from RNAcentral.
GCAGUCGAGCGUGAAUAAGUGGAGUGAGGACUUCGGUCUGAGUGAAACUUAUGAAAGCGGCGGACGGGUGAGUAACGCGUGGGCAACCUGCCUCAUACAAAGGGAUAGCCACUGGAAACGGUGAUUAAUACCUUAUAAGUCGGUAGCAUCGCAUGAUGUAGCCGACAAAGAUUUAUCGGUAUGAGAUGGGCCCGCGUCUGAUUAGCUAGUUGGUAAGGUAACGGCUUACCAAGGCGACGAUCAGUAGCCGACCUGAGAGGGUGAUCGGCCACACUGGAACUGAGACACGGUCCAGACUCCUACGGGAGGCAGCAGUGGGGAAUAUUGCACAAUGGGCGCAAGCCUGAUGCAGCAACGCCGCGUGAGUGAUGAAGGCCUUCGGGUUGUAAAACUCUGUCCUAUGGGAAGAAACAAAUGACGGUACCAUAGGAGGAAGCCCCGGCUAACUACGUGCCAGCAGC